GGAGGUUGGCUUAGAAGCAGCCAUCCUUUAAAGAAAGCGUAAUAGCUCACUGGUCGAGUCGGUCUGCGCGGAAGAUGUAACGGGGCUAAACUAUGCACCGAAGCUGCGGAUUCAGAAUUUAUUCUGAGUGGUAGGGGAGCGUUCUGUAAGCGGUUGAAGGUGUACCGGGAGGUAUGCUGGACGUAUCAGAAGUGCGAAUGCUGACAUGAGUAACGAUAAUGCGGGUGAAAAACCCGCACGCCGGAAGACCAAGGGUUCCUAUCCCAUGUUAAUCAGGGUAGGGUAAGUCGACCCCUAAGGCGAGGCCGAAAGGCGUAGUCGAUGGGAAACGGAUUAAUAUUUCCGUACUUGGUAUAAUUGCGAUGGGGGGACGGAGAAGGCUAAGCAAGCAUGGCGAUGGUUGUCCAUGUGAAAGUGAGUAGGGCGUUUGUUUAGGUAAAUCCGGACGAACACUAAACCUGAGACACGAGACGAGCUACUACGGUAGUGAAGUUGCUGAUGCCAUACUUCCAGGAAAAGCCUCUAAGCUUCAGAUUAUACCGAAUCGUACCCCAAACCGACACAGGUGGUCAGGUAGAGAAUACUAAGGCGCUUGAGAGAACUCGGGUGAAGGAACUAGGCAAAAUCGUACCGUAACUUCGGGAGAAGGUACGCUCCUAUCUGUGAUGAGACUUGCUCUCUAAGCGGACGGGAGCCGCAGUGACCAGGUGGCUGGGACUGUUUAUUAAAAACACAGCACUGUGCAAAAUCGCAAGAUGACGUAUACGGUGUGACACCUGCCCGGUGCCGGAAGGUUAAUUGAUGGGGUUAUCUUCGGAGAAGCUCUUGAUCGAAGCCCCGGUAAACGGCGGCCGUAACUAUAACGGUCCUAAGGUAGCGAAAUUCCUUGUCGGGUAAGUUCCGACCUGCACGAAUGGUGUAACCAUGGCCACGCUGUCUCCACCCGAGACUCAGUGAAAUUGAAAUCGCAGUGAAGAUGCUGUGUACCCGCGGCUAGACGGAAAGACCCCGUGAACCUUUACUACAGCUUGGCACUGAACAUUGAACCUACAUGUGUAGGAUAGGUGGGAGACUUUGAAGCAGCGACGCUAGUUGUUGUGGAGUCGUCCUUGAAAUACCACCCUUGUAGUUUUGAUGUUCUAACGUUGGCCCCUGAAUCGGGGUUACGGACAGUGCCUGGUGGGUAGUUUGACUGGGGCGGUCUCCUCC
RNAcentral lists this ribosomal RNA (1209 nucleotides) under seawater metagenome. RNAcentral's name for it is "bacterial LSU rRNA". It matches the Rfam family "Bacterial large subunit ribosomal RNA", at positions 1096 to 2290 of the family's 2925-position model. The record is from RNAcentral.